UACGUACCGUCCAAACGUUAUUCGGAAUUACUGGGCUUAAAGGGUACGUAGGCGGCGCUGUCAGUCGGGUGUGAAAUCCCACGGCUCAACCGUGGAACUGCGCACGAUACUGCAGUGCUUGAGGGAGACAGAGGUAAGCGGAACUGAUGGUGGAGCGGUGAAAUGCGUUGAUAUCAUCAGGAACACCAGUGGCGAAAGCGGCUUACUGGGUCUCUUCUGACGCUGAGGUACGAAAGCUAGGGGAGCGAAGGGG
RNAcentral lists this ribosomal RNA (253 nucleotides) under uncultured bacterium. RNAcentral describes it as "partial 16S ribosomal RNA". It matches the Rfam family "Bacterial small subunit ribosomal RNA", at positions 524 to 776 of the family's 1533-position model. The record is from RNAcentral.